This 503-nucleotide ribosomal RNA is filed under the name Tylenchorhynchus teeni. Its description in RNAcentral is "SSU rRNA". It matches the Rfam family "Eukaryotic small subunit ribosomal RNA", at positions 88 to 590 of the family's 1831-position model. Lineage: Eukaryota; Metazoa; Nematoda; Chromadorea; Rhabditida; Telotylenchidae. The record is from RNAcentral.
CGCGAAUAGCUCAUUACAACAGCUAUAAUUUACUUGAAUUUGACAACCCUACUUGGAUACCGGUGGUAAUUCUAGCGCUAAUACAUGCACCAAAGCUCCGACCGCGAGGGAAGAGCGCAUUUAUUAGAACAAAACCACACGGCUUCGGCCGUCCAAUGUUGACUCAGAAUAACUAAGCUGAUCGCAUGGUCUUGCACCGGCGACGUUUCUUUCAAGUAUCUGCCUUAUCAACUUUCGAUGGUAGUGUAUCUGACUACCAUGGUGAUGACGGGUAACGGAGGAUAAGGGUUCGACUCCGGAGAAGGGGCCUGAGAAAUGGCCACUACGUCUAAGGAUGGCAGCAGGCGCGCAAAUUACCCACUCUCAGUACGAGGAGGUAGUGACGAGAAAUAACAAGACCGUUCUCACAAGAGGCCGGUCAUUGGAGUGGGUACAAUUUAAACCCUUUAACGAGUAUCUAUGAGAGGGCAAGUCUGGUGCCAGCAGCCGCGGUAAUUCCAGCU